Long non-coding RNA from Portunus trituberculatus (swimming crab), 895 nucleotides. RefSeq lists it as uncharacterized. The record is from RefSeq and is a predicted model, not a curated record. NCBI's taxonomy places the organism in Eukaryota, Metazoa, Arthropoda, Malacostraca, Decapoda, Portunidae. The transcript has 3 exons.
UGGCAGUAUCCAAGGGGAUUUGACAAAGCUAGGUUCAAUGAUUUCAAAUUGUUGACCAUUAUAACAGGUUCGGCAGUGUUCCAAAUUGAUAUGGACAGUAAACUGAACAAUUGUUUUGGUAUUUUGUAAGCACGAUCGACAAUUUGGAAGUGAUCAUUGAGUGGGUAGGUUUGUGUGUGGGUGGGGUUAAUUCACAGUACAUAAGCCGGAGAACAUUAAGAUGAAAAUAAUGACAAAUAUUUAAUGUGAUUCGCAAUGUACAUAGAGGUGGAUGAAAUUGAGCAACCUUGCUUAUUGUAGGCAACAUUAAUGAGGACCUUUGACUGUCUGUGUGGGAGUGUAAAUUUUGUUGUUUGUCGGUUACUUGUAUUUCAAGGAAACACGGAGAGCUAAGAUGAACAGCAUUGUGGUAACUUACUGCUAGGGUUUCUCUCUUAAAACACCAUCUAGUCAAUCUAAAUUUACCUUACGAUAGUCUAAACCAUGAAUAAUAGUGAUGUUAAAAUACAAAGCCAGCAUUUCACCCACAGAGUGCAAUAGUGGCAGAGCUGCAGACGACCCCCACACGGAAGAGCAACAACAAUCAGUCAGUCAGUCAGUCAGUCAGUCAGUCAGUCAGUCAGUCCCACAGUGCUGGCAGUGGUAUUCCGAAGCAGCGCAUGUGUGACGGCAUCAAUGAUUGCUGCAGUAACGGAGAGGAUGAGUUUGUGCAGCUGUGUGGCAUUGAGGAGUGCCGGGAGAAGAAUGUCGGGUGUGUGUGAGCCUGUUUACAUCAACACUCGAGAGUCAUACUACUGCCAGUGCCGGCCAUGCAGGGUACAGACACGUGUCAGAAAGUUCAAGUGUGAAGACGUUGACGAGUGCGUGGAGUCGCCCAGAUCCUCUCCUGUGGACC